Molecule: non-coding RNA, 96 nt
Organism: Callorhinus ursinus (northern fur seal)
Lineage: Eukaryota; Metazoa; Chordata; Mammalia; Carnivora; Otariidae
Source: RefSeq, a predicted model, not a curated record
AGAGAAAUCAUUCAAAAUCAUUCCAUGAAGCCAGUACCACCCUGAUACCAAAGCAGGAUAAAAAACACAAAAACAAAAACAUAAAUGUCAAGUGUG